Molecule: RNA transcript, 1265 nt
Organism: Culex quinquefasciatus (southern house mosquito)
Lineage: Eukaryota; Metazoa; Arthropoda; Insecta; Diptera; Culicidae
Gene name: elongation factor 1-alpha-like
Exons: 2
Source: RefSeq, a predicted model, not a curated record
AUGCAUAGUCUUAGCACACAAAAAAGAAACAACGUGGAAACGACCGUCCAAACAGUAAGGUUAUUCAGCGGAACGGUUCGUGGGCGAUUCUGCCCCAAAAUCGGUGGUACGGGAACGGAAACCGAUGUGAACAAGCCCGGUAUCGCCAUCGUCUUCGUUUCGGCCAACCUGACCACUGAUGUCAAGUCCGUCGAAAUGUAUCAAGAAGCCCUGCCGGAGGCCGUGCCCGGAGACAACGUCAAGAACAUGUCCGUCAUGGAACUGCGUCGUGGAUACGUCGCCGUGCUGGAUUGGCAUACCGCUCACAUUGCUUGCGAGUUCAGCGAGAUCAAGGAGAAGGUCUUUCGUAAUUUCCGGCAAGUCCACUGAGGAUCAUCCAAAGUCCAACAAGUCUGGUGAUGACGCUAUCGUCUUCCUGGUCCCACCCAAGCCUCUGUGCGUGGUAGCCGAAAAGGCCACCAAACAACAAUCGAUACUAGCGACCGCGAGGACAGUUCCCUUGAGUGAACCAGAUGUAGACUGUAGUCCCGAUUCACCCCAGAUUACGGUAAUAAAUAAAAGCCUUUAUUUUUGCUUAGUUUCUUUUAAUGCGGUCCGUUUCGAUGCAUUUGGUCCGUUGUGCGCCGGAAAAAAGUGAACAGUCUUGAAAGGAGCCGAUGUCCUCUGAGUCCUCCUCGUUCUGGAUCUGGAUGUCCGAGUGGGCUUUCCACUCCUUGUCCAUGUACACCUUACAGCCGAAGUCACUUAACGUCAUGCACGAUCGAGGAAUGAUCGGUCAGGGCCUGGUUGAGCACACUUUUGUGGCCGGUUCCAGCAUGUCUCCGUGCCAUCCGGAGAUGGGCACGAUAACGAUGGCGGCCGGGUUGUAGCCGAUUUUCUUGAUGUCCUUAAACUGACCUCGUUGAACGGGGCUCAGUCGAUUCCAUCUUGUUGACAUCCACGAUCAACUGUUUGACACCGAGGGUGAUGGCGAGCUAGGCGUUCUCUCGGGUCUGUCCGUUUUUGGAGAAAUUUUUUAUCACUAUCGAAUUCUCCGGUAACGGCGGCGAAGAUCAGCAUGGCACAUUCCGUAACGAAAUCCGUAACAGACGGAAUAGUUUGCUCCGGGUUUCGGCUAAGGAAACUUUAGCAGCAUUGUGGCGUGAAGAUAUUUCAAAUUCAUUUGUAAUCGCGCUCUUCUGUCAAGCACUGGUUUAUUCACAAAUUCCGAAACUCGGUGAAAAAAAACGAGAGGUGGAUUGAGUAACUUUGAGCCACACUGAGUA